Molecule: long non-coding RNA, 783 nt
Organism: Rhagoletis zephyria (snowberry fruit fly)
Lineage: Eukaryota; Metazoa; Arthropoda; Insecta; Diptera; Tephritidae
Source: RefSeq, a predicted model, not a curated record
AAUAAUUUUGCAUUUAUAUGUUUUUCGAUAAUUUUUAACUGUUAUAAUAGAGACUACGCUUUUACUACUCUUUAAAAUUUUUUAUAAGCAAUGAAAUCUGAAAAUAACGGUUAUAGUAUCUAAAAUAGCGACUAAACUUGAUCGAAAAAAUAGAAAUAAUAAAAGAACCAUUAAAUUAUGAUUGUUGUUAUGAAGAUCAUAACCCUUACGGUCGCCGCUUUGAGGCAUUCUGUGAACCAACGAACCAGAUAAAAAUAUAAAAUAAAUAAUAUUUGCGUAAUUUAUAUUGCAUUGCCCUCUUUUACCACAACAAAAUGCAUUAAGGGUAUUUAUUUCAGUACGCAAGAUCCUUAUUUGUGCAAUUUUGUAACUUCGCGCAGUUUUUUUUUUUCAUUUGGGCCAAUAUAUCCCUUCAUUCUGUGCUUUGUCUGUCAGUAGAUUAUUUGCGAAAUUUCACAAUUUCGAUUUUAGGCUAGAAGCAGAAUUCGCAGAAAGAUCACAUAAAUUUCUUUUCUGGUAAACAUUUUUUUAAAUUCGAAUUCGAUGCUAAUGAAUUUAAAUAUUAUAUACAUAUGUAAGUAGGUGCAACAUUGUGUAUCAUUUUAUAUUUUUAGUUUAUUUGUAUCAAAUAGUUAUUAAAUACGCCUUAUAUAUACACAUUUGUUUGUAUACUUUUUCAUAGUGUACUACACAUGCAUUCGAAUAUGUAUAAUGUUUGAAAAGAUACAUACGUGCAUAAACAUGUACAUGCAUAUGUAUGUAUGUAUGUGUAACAAAAAUUUU